GCGGCCCCGGGGAGGAGCAGGAGUUCCUGGAGAGGGCCUGUGGCGCAUUCCAGAUUUGCGGGCAGGAGAGAGCAGGUCACCUGGGGCCUCCGCCCCCCACAGCUUACUCUGGAACCAAGGCUGGCACGACUACCACCACCUGGAGCAUUGAUGUUUGCUGGGCCAGAGGAAAAGAAGGAAGAGGCUUCCACCAGAAGUGUCCCUGCGGCUCCUGCUUCAUCAGCCAGAACGAGUCACUCAGCCACAUCUGACUUCAAGGGAGAUGGGCAGUGCAGUCCUACCCUGUGCCCAGGCGGAUACGUGCCCAGGAGUGAGAUCACUGGAUCAUAUGAUAUAUUCCUAACAGAAAUGCAAGCAAGAGGAGGAUCAAAAUAGCAGAGUAGGACAUGGAGCUCACCUCCCCCACCACAAACAAAAAAUUCAUCUACAUGGGGACUAAUUCUCACAGAAAACCACCUGGGAACUGGCAGAAGAUCUCUUACACAACGAAAGCUGCAAGAAAAAUCUCCAUGGUACGAGGUAGGACAAAAAAGAAUGUAUCAGGGAUGGGACCAGCACCCCGGGGAGAGAAUCUGUGAAGGAGGGAAGGUCUACGCGGGAAGGCUGUCACCCUGGGGAGCCGCCUUGCCAGCUGGGAGGGCUGCUGGGGCAGACACAGCGGCUGGAGGGGCCUGGACUCUGCUCAGGAGGGGUGUGCAUGUGCUAGCUUGCUAGCAAUCAGGACAGAGAGACUGGCACUGUCUGCUGAAAGCUGCUGCCUCCCCACACUUCCCAGUCUAAAUGGCAGGGCUGCUAGUACCUGCAGGGCCUGGGGGCUGAAUCUUAGACAGGCCUUGGGAGAGGACUCCAUCUAGCUGCGUGGGGACAGUCUGGUGGGCUUGGGCCAAACCUUGGAGCCACUGUCAGUGCCUGCACCAUAGGGGGAGGGUCUGGCUGCACAACAGACUGUCAGCGUGGCUGAUGCCAAAGAAAUCAUGUCUCUGGCCAACAGCCCCUGGGGAGGAAUACCCAGUGGUUCCUUUCCUGGCUGGCAUUCGUACCAAAAACAGCGCUUGCACCAAAAAUAUUGGACUCACACAAUGCACACGGGGAUGCUUCCACAUAAAGACACCCCUUUAAGACCACAGUAGAUAAACUGUUUCUCCAAAAUUCAUAGAAACAGUUAAGUAAAAUGAAAAAGCAGAGGAGUUACUCCAAGUUAAAAGAACGAGAGGCUCACAGGGGCACCUCUCGUCUUUGUGGCCCGCUGCUGUCUAUGGCAGUGUGCCCUAAUAAACUCCUUUUCUAUUUUCAUACUUCAUCUCUGGUAAAUUCUUACCAACCCGCACAUCACUGUGCCACCAACUGGCCCCCACUGUGUCCCACAUUUGGUGGCCCAUGUGGCCCUUUGGGCUUCUUUCUCCUCUCUCCCCUCUAGCGGGAUCUCCCCCUGGCUUGAUGGGAUGCUCCAUUCUGGAGGCCAGAAUCGUCAAGGCAGGCUUCCCUCUUCUGCUUUCCUUUCCUCUUUCAUACUUUUCUGCUGUUCCCUAGCAUUCAGAAAUUCCCUGAAGUCUUGCCAGGGAUUGAGGAACCCUGGCUGGGCUCUCUCAGCAGGCUCUGAAAUCUGACAGGUGGAAAUGAACCCCGGCCUGUAGGAGUGAAUGCACAUGGGAAAGGUAUCUUAUCUUUUCUAAAUACCCUUCUCUCCAUCUCCCCUUCCCCUAUCCCUUCCUCUGACUCUGGCCCUUGAGACACUCCUUGGUUCUCGGGCCCAACCACGUGGUACACCUCUCUGUGCCUUCCUGCCGCCUUUUGUGGAUCACGCCUCCAGAUUGGUCGUGCCUCCUGCCUUGGAUCACCGCACCAGGUAGAAGUCGCCAGUGGCCCACCAUGUCAAAGUUGUGGAUCCCACCACCCUUCACGGACCCUGGACUUCUUGCCUCACCUACAGCCAACUGGAGACUUGUGCAUGGGCCAGUCGGGCCCCUGGUGACCCUACCUUGUGGAGGACCCCAGCAGCCAGCUCUCAGUGCGUGCACGGGUACCUCUCAUCUGUGUGGCCUGCUGUUGUCUAUGGCAGCAUAUCCUAGUGAGCCCCUUUUCUGUUCUCAUGCUUUGUCUCUGAAUUCUUUGGCCAAUGCACGACAUAACUGUGCUACCAACCGGCCCCUGUUGUGUUCCACAACAGUAACCAGCUCUGCCUCUGCCUUACCCACCCCACCCCCAACCCCUGCAGUCCAUUCUCUACACAGUAUCUAGAGGAGUUUUUAUUAUCAAAUCAUGUCCCUCCUCUACUCUAAGCCCUCUAAUGACUUGGACCUGGAGGUGGGAUGAAGAUAAAAAUAGAAAGGCAGGGGUGGGGUGAGGGGGUAAGUUUGAGGUAGGAAUUUUAGGGGUGGGGGAGAAUUAUGAAGAAGGGAAUGGGUGUGGGACUGGGGCUGGAAUUGGGAUUGGAAAUGCCACCUUGUGUGGGCAUGGAAAUGAUAGGGUUAAGUGUCCAGAUAAGGAUGGGUUUGUGUUUUGGGGAUCAGGUGGUUAGGUUACCUUUGGAAAUUGAGAUGGGGUUGAAUUUGAGGAUUGGAAUGGGCUGAAUUUGGGUUUGAAGCUAGGGUUAAGGAUGGAAUUGGAGCCACAGUCAGGAUGGGGUUGGGUUUGGGAUGGGGGGUCAAGAUGGCAGAAGGGCUCUGGGCUAUGCCUCCAGUCACCAUAUGCCCAUGGCCCAGACGUUCUGAAGCCCAGUUAGCUGCAAAAAAGAAAAGAAACAAACAAGAGAAAUCCCCUGAAAGAACAAUGAAACAGACCUCACCAGUCUAAUAGACCGAGUUCAAAAAGAAGAUAAUAAAAAUGGUAAAGAAAUUAAGAAAUAUUAUCACUAGAAAUGCAGAUCAUUGUAACAGACUAGAAACUAUAAGAACAAUCUAGAAGCAAUGAAGAGGAGAUUAAAUAACACAGAAGAACAAAAUAAUGGAAAUCAUCCAAGCAGAAUAGCAGCAAGAAAGACGUGAGAAAAAAUAAAAGCAACAUCUGAGAUCUAUGGGCUAAUAUAAAGUGCGCCAACCUAUGCCUAAAUAGGGGUUCCAGAAAGAGAAAGAGAGAUCAAAAAUGUAUUUGAAAAAGUGAUAACUGAAAACUUAUCAAGCCUGAGGAAGGAAACAUAUCCAGGUACAGGAAGCAGAGAGAGUCCCAACAAGAUGAACUUCAAGAGACCCACACCAAGACAUAUCAUAAUUUAAAAUGGCAAAAGUUAAAGACUUCACAGGCCAGAAAGGAGUAGCAUAAUAUAUUCAAAGACCUGAAAAGGAAAAACCUGCAAGGAUCCUCUAGCCAGUAAGAUGAUUUAGAAAAGGAGAAUUUCUCAGACAAGCAAAAACUAAAAGAACUCUGCAAUACUAAUCUUCCCUAAAAGAAAUAUUGUAAGGUCUUCUCUAAAUAGAAAAGAAGCAAGAAUCUAUAGAAAAGGCAAUAGGAAAGGUAAAUAUAUAAAAGGAUUGACGUUCACUUACAUAAGUCAGUACAUAGAUUUAAAAAAUCAUUUUGUAAAAGUGAUAACUACAAUUAACAGCAAAAGGAUAAACAUGAAGAUAUAAAAUAGAACAUCAAAAUCACAGAAUGGGGGGAGAGGGAGUAUAAAAAUGUAGAUCUUUUAGAAUAUAUUUGAAUUUACAUGGCUAUCAGUUUAAAGCAAAUAGAUACAGUUAUGGGUUAAUACACUUGAAAACCAGGUUAACCAUAAGCCAAAAACAUAUAAUAGAUUCACAAAAACAAAAAAGGAACUCAAGCAUAAUACAAAAGAAAGCCAUAAAGGAAAAAUGAACAAAGAAGAACUACAAAAUCAACUGGAAAACAAGAUAUAAAAUGGCAUUAAGUACAUACCUAUCAAUAAUUCAGUGUCAGCGCAUUCUGGAAAAGGCACAGCAAUAGAAACAACAAAAAGAUUGUGGUUUCCAGGGGUUUGGGGAGAGGGUGGGAGGGACGGAGGAAUGAAUAGAUGGAGUAAAAGGGAUUUUUUGGGCAAUGAAAUUACUCUGUAUGAUACUAUAGUGGUGGCUUACUUGUCAUUAUGCAUUUGUCAAAACCCAUAAUGUACAACAUCAAGAGUAAACCCUAAUGUAAACUAUGGACUUUGGUUGAUAAUGUGUCUAUGUUGGUUCAUCGGUUGUACCAAAUAUGCCACACUGAUGAGGGAUGUUGAGGGUAGGGGAGUAUAUAUGUGUGGAUGGAGAGGGCUAUGUGCCGACUCUGUAUUUUCUGCUCAAUUCUGUUGUGAACCUGAAACUGCUCUAAAAGAAUAAAAUCUAUUUAAAAAAAUUAAAUGUCAAUGGACUAAAAGUGCCAAUCAAAAGAGAGUGGCAGACUGGAUUAAACAAGAACCUACAAUAUCUUGCUUACAAAGGACUCACUUCAGGGGAAAGACAGAUUGAAAGGGAGAGGAUGGAGUAAGGUAGUUUCAUGCAAAUGAAAAUGACAAAGCAGGGAUAGCAAUACUAUCAGACAAAAUAUACUUUAAAAGAAAGUCCAUAA
Long non-coding RNA from Camelus dromedarius (Arabian camel), 4500 nucleotides. RefSeq lists it as uncharacterized. The record is from RefSeq and is a predicted model, not a curated record. The transcript has 5 exons. Lineage: Eukaryota; Metazoa; Chordata; Mammalia; Artiodactyla; Camelidae.